UCAGAAGCUAUGAGACCUACGCGCUAGCCAACUGCGCCACCACCCCUUCGAUGGCUACUUUAUUUCUUUCAUCUACAAUGGUUUGGUAUCCUAAGAAACUUCCAAAUAAAGACCUCUUUCGUCUCUUCCGACAGCCAUUAACGGCUUUCUCAUUUCUUACAACUCAAUCAUCCACAUUCAUUACUCUCUAUCUGGGUACAUAUCAAUUUCUACUGCUGGACUUUAUGAGUUGAUAAGUAGCACACGAAAUGGAGAAUGGGAAAAAUAUGAAUGCAAUUCGUGCGCAAGACAACUUUAUUAUGAUGUCUUUUGAACAAAAAGAGCGUCCUAGAAGCCGUAGUGAUAUUAUGACUUGUCGUCUAAAAAACCGAGAACGGCAGCGGAGAUACAGGGCCCGGAAACGAAUGGAGGCAAAUAUGAAGAAAGCUUCUGUGCCAAACCAAUCAGCUAGAUCAGAAGAACAUCUGGAACACAAUGGGAAUAUUAACAAUUAUAGAAUCAUUGUUCAUUGUAAGCGAAAUUGGAAAAAAGAUGCAAGAAAAGCUCAUGCUUGUAAAUCUCUGGAGGAAGUGCCGAGUGCAAGUAUGAUUUCUGCUUUGGGCUUAAAUAGUGAAAUUCAGACGCAUUGUUUGACCCCUCUUACAGUAGUUGAAUCACCGCUAGAGAGGAAUAAUCAUUCUGAGAAUUCGCUUAGCUUCUUGAGCAGUGAGAUGACAUCCAAGAUUGGUAGAAGAGAUUGGAAGGCUGAAGCAAGAAGAAAGAAAAACUAAUUUGGUUGUUUCCUAUUCAGGUAGUGAUGGACAUCUUACAGGGUGAAAUUUAUUUAUGGGUAUCGAUUUUGGAACUCGUUGGAAGUUGUAAUGGAGAAAAGAUUAUGUUGAUCUGGUAGUUGAUAAAGUUAUGAAUGGGGUUGGAGUUAUCAGAGUUGCUUGCAGAUGCAGAGGGGCGUAAGGCAGUAUAGUGAGUUAAUAGUUGGGUUACCACCAGCUAUUUGGAAGAUAAGGUCUGACACCUGGUGUAUUUAUAAGUAUCAGCUGGUUUAGCCAAGGAAUAUUGGUAACGGAGGAGUGGUGCCGCAUCUUAAUCAUUUCCCGAUACCCUUCCUCUUAUACUCCCCAAGUAAAGAGAAGUCUGAUGCUUUCCAUUUACUGUUGUUACACAAGGAAGAUGGUUUACAACAAAGAUGCUCCCUUCUGGGCUUGCUGAGAGAGGACAGUGGAAAGAGCCGACUGAUUACUUCUAAAUUGGAAGCACUGCAUGUCUCCAGAAUUGUAUUAAUGGGGUAAUCCUAGUGGAAGAAUUGCUGCAAUAUAUUUAUCAGUAACAAUACCUAAAUUUAGGCUAUGAAACCAAGCUUCAUGUUUUUAUGGAUAGGGGCUGGAAUCAGGGGCUCAGGGACGUAGAGGCUGGGGCCUUGGAGGCUGCCCCCAACUUCUAAAAUUUUAAAAAUUCCACAUAUAUAUUUUAGAUUU
Molecule: RNA transcript, 1472 nt
Organism: Ricinus communis (castor bean)
Lineage: Eukaryota; Viridiplantae; Streptophyta; Magnoliopsida; Malpighiales; Euphorbiaceae
Exons: 3
Source: RefSeq, a predicted model, not a curated record